This 69-nucleotide transfer RNA is filed under the name Emberiza spodocephala. RNAcentral's name for it is "Schoeniclus spodocephala tRNA-Asp". Lineage: Eukaryota; Metazoa; Chordata; Aves; Passeriformes; Fringillidae. The record is from RNAcentral.
GAGAUGUUAGUAAAAUAAUUACAUAGCCUUGUCAAGACUAAGUUGCAAGCGAAAACCUUGCACAUCUCC